RNAcentral lists this long non-coding RNA (207 nucleotides) under Sus scrofa (pig). Its description in RNAcentral is "lncRNA (ENSSSCG00070021397.1)". The record is from RNAcentral. Lineage: Eukaryota; Metazoa; Chordata; Mammalia; Artiodactyla; Suidae.
AUCACUCCCAACCGGCUGAAACAAGUUGAGAAAACCAUGCACACUAGUGAGAGUGGAUGUCCCAAGCACAAAGAGAACAUGGAAAGUAUGUUGAAUCCAGGCUGAUUUUAAUAUCAGCUCUGAGAAGCCUUCCCUAUUUCCCAAGAUAGAACGAACUGCUCCACAUCUGUGAUUCCUGGCAACAUCAUCUCUGUUGGAGAAGUGGCC